RNAcentral lists this unclassified non-coding RNA (233 nucleotides) under Candelariella sp. RNAcentral describes it as "partial contains 5.8S ribosomal RNA, internal transcribed spacer 2, and large subunit ribosomal RNA". Lineage: Eukaryota; Fungi; Ascomycota; Candelariomycetes; Candelariales; Candelariaceae. The record is from RNAcentral.
CGCACAUUGCGCCCCUUGGUAUUCCGAGGGGCAUGCCUGUUCGAGCGUCAUUAUCACCACUCAAGCUCUGCUUGGUCCUGGAUCGCGCCGGUUGCGGCUGAUCCCAAAUCCAGUGGCGGCCUCCGUAGGUUCUUCGCGUAGUACAUUCUCUCGCGUGGGCGCUACGGAAUCGUCGGCCAGAAGCCUUUUCUCAGGUUGACCUCGAAUCAGGUAGGAAUACCCGCUGAACUUAA